GCAUAUUCACCAGUCUCAGUUUAGAGAUGAGACGACUAAAGCACAGAGAUGCUAAGCAACUUGUUCAAGAUCAUACAGCUAAUAAGUGACAGAGCUGGGUUCAGGCAGGCACAGCCCAGCCCCAGCAUUAAUAGUCUCAACCACCAAAUUAUAAGUCUCUAAACUGGAACAAGUCUCCCUCUUACCCUCUUACUUCCUCCACCAGAGAUUGUCCUGCAUGGGUUAGCACAGAGCUGGAAUCAGACCAGGUUCUUGCCAGUACCCUACGUGGCUAACCAGGUGGCUUGAAACAGAGAGGGCAUCUCUGCCUCAAGCUUAGUCUUGGAGUUAUUGUUGCCCAUCAUGGGUAGAGCCAAGGGAGGAUGAAUAUGGUCCAGGGUUCACCCAUUAUGUAGAUGAACUCUGGUCAUAAUGGGGUUAUGGUCUUGUGGUUUCCUCCUCUCUUACCCCAAAUGGGAGUUUUCCUUUCAAUUAUCUUUAUAACAAGUGUGGUUGCAGCUUCAAACCACAAACCACUAAUAUUUUUAUUGGCAAGUGCAUCCUCUAAUACGUAUAGUUCUGUUGAAUGGGUGAAAUAUUUAUCACCAGAUGCAUUUGUUUUUGUAGUGUUUAUAAUGCUUGGAAAGGGGCUGAGUGUCUCUGGCCUUAAUCCCUUCUUUGGCUCUACUGCCACUGUCCUGGUUUAGCUCCCCCCAAAUUUUACCUGUAUAGCCUCUGAACUGGUCUCCCAGACUCCAGGCUGACCCCUCUAAUCCAUCUUCCACAUUGGCUUACAGCUCCAUCUUUCUAAAGUACAGCUUUUGCCAUGCCAUUCCUUUGCUCAAAAAUCAUUUAUUGACUCCCAGUUGCAGCUAAUUGUAAGUUCCCAUCACCUGGUUCCUGUAGCCCUUCAGGAACUUUCCUUCCAUAAACCUUUAUCAUGAACCUUAUACAUUAGCCACACUGGACAAGUUUGCAUUUUCUAGGCCUGUCCUG
Molecule: long non-coding RNA, 975 nt
Filed under: Homo sapiens (human)
Lineage: Eukaryota; Metazoa; Chordata; Mammalia; Primates; Hominidae
Description: long non-coding RNA NONHSAT222088
Source: RNAcentral